Molecule: ribosomal RNA, 253 nt
Filed under: uncultured bacterium
Lineage: Bacteria
Description: partial 16S ribosomal RNA
Rfam family: Bacterial small subunit ribosomal RNA
Source: RNAcentral
UACGGAGGAUCCAAGCGUUAUCCGGAAUCAUUGGGUUUAAAGGGUCCGUAGGCGGUUUGGUAAGUCAGUGGUGAAAGCCCAUCGCUCAACGGUGGAACGGCCAUUGAUACUGCCAGACUUGAAUUACUAGGAAGUAACUAGAAUAUGUAGUGUAGCGGUGAAAUGCUUAGAUAUUACAUGGAAUACCAAUUGCGAAGGCAGGUUACUACUAGUGGAUUGACGCUGAUGGACGAAAGCGUAGGUAGCGAACAGG